RNAcentral lists this ribosomal RNA (468 nucleotides) under uncultured bacterium. RNAcentral describes it as "partial 16S ribosomal RNA". It matches the Rfam family "Bacterial small subunit ribosomal RNA", at positions 28 to 507 of the family's 1533-position model. The record is from RNAcentral.
GACGAACGCUGGCGGCGUGCUUAACACAUGCAAGUCGAACGGAAAGGCCCUGCUUUUGUGGGGUGCUCGAGUGGCGAACGGGUGAGUAACACGUGAGUAACCUGCCCUUGACUUUGGGAUAACUUCAGGAAACUGGGGCUAAUACCGGAUAGGAGCUCCUGCUGCAUGGUGGGGGUUGGAAAGUUUCGGCGGUUGGGGAUGGACUCGCGGCUUAUCAGCUUGUUGGGGGGGUAGUGGCUUACCAAGGCUUUGACGGGUAGCCGGCCUGGGAGGGUGACCGGCCACAUUGGGACUGCGAUACGGCCCAGACUCCUACGGGAGGCAGCAGUGGGGAAUAUUGCACAAUGGGCGGAAGCCUGAUGCAGCAACGCCGCGUGCGGGAUGACGGCCUUCGGGUUGUAAACCGCUUUCGCCUGUGACGAAGCGUGAGUGACGGUAAUGGGUAAAGAAGCACCGGCUAACUACGUG